This 459-nucleotide ribosomal RNA is filed under the name uncultured bacterium. RNAcentral describes it as "partial 16S ribosomal RNA". It matches the Rfam family "Bacterial small subunit ribosomal RNA", at positions 338 to 795 of the family's 1533-position model. The record is from RNAcentral.
CCUACGGGAGGCAGCAGUGAGGAAUAUUGGUCAAUGGGCGGGAGCCUGAACCAGCCAAGUCGCGUGAGGGACGACGGUCCUAUGGAUUGUAAACCUCUUUUGUCGGGGAACAAAGGCGCCCACGGGUGGGCGGAUGAGUGUACCCGAAGAAAAAGCAUCGGCCAACACCGUGCCAGCAGCCGCGGAAAUACGGAGGAUGCGGGCGUUAUCCGGAUUUAUUGGGGUUAAAGGGGGCGUAGGCGGACAGUCAAGUCAGCGGUAAAAUGGCGGUGCUAAAGGCCGUACGGCCGUUGAAACUGGGGGUCUUGAGUGGGCGAGAGGUAGGCGGAAUGCGUGGUGUAGCGGUGAAAUGCAUAGAUAUCAGGCGGAACACCAGUUGCGAAGGCGGCAUGCCGGCGCGCAACUGACGCUGAGGCGCGAAAGCGUGGGUAGCGAACAGGAUUAGAUACCCCAGUAGUC